Molecule: long non-coding RNA, 3960 nt
Filed under: Gossypium barbadense (sea-island cotton)
Lineage: Eukaryota; Viridiplantae; Streptophyta; Magnoliopsida; Malvales; Malvaceae
Description: long non-coding RNA (GBAR_LNC004941)
Source: RNAcentral
AGACAUGCACACAUCCAUUGCCACACUUUAAGCCUAUUACUUGUCCACAAACAAUAAAUUAAGUUUAAGUCUAUUUAAAAUAUUUAUUUCCUUUGAAAACAUUUACGUUGCGGAAGCUUUGCUCGGUUAUCGUGAUAUUUUAAAAAUAAGUAACUUUUAUAAAACGCGCCCUAGAGCUAACCAAUUUAAUAACCCAAAAUAUUAAAAAUAAUAAAAAGAGCGGCUUUAUUACAACUUUAACCAGGAUAAAAAUAAUCAAAAUAAUAAAUGCGAAACUUAUUUUAAAGAAAACAAAACUUAAUCUUCGUGGCCACUCUGAAUCCUGCCCAGCUCCAAGCCCAUCGAUCUAAGGCUCACCUGCAAAGAUGGGAAAAAGGGGGGUGAGUUUGGAAAACUCAGUGUGUAAAGUAUCCCAACCAGAGCCCAAAUCAGUUCAAGCUUUACUAGGCCUAAGCCCUAUUCAGAAUUUAGUGUUAACUGGGCCUUAGCCCAUAUCAAUAUUAAUCUGGGCCAUAGCCCCUUACAGUAAUAGAGUAUACUGGGCCUAGCCCAUAUCAGUAUCAAUCUGGGCCGUAGCCCUAUUACAAGUCGAGAUAUAUUGGGCCUUGCCCAUAUUGACACAGUUGGGCCCAUUUUAAUACAGUUGGCCCAUAAUAAAACAGUCUCAUAUGAUUAAUGCAUGAUAACCCCAUCCAACCCUGCACUUCCCUCCGUCCAUCCCUACACUUCCUGUAGGGAAUAAAUCACCCACGCCAUCCCUACACUUACAGUGUUAGCACCGGUUGCGGCACUAACUAUAAUCCGCAGCAAAGCUGCUUAUAUCAGAAUACGUGGCACAGCCGCUAGAACAGGUUCUUCCUCCAUAACAAAACCCAACCCCAUGCAACAGAUAUACAUGUCAUGGCAUACAACAAACAUAAUCAGAAUAUCAUGCAUUUCAGUCAAAAUUAACCCUAGGGGUAUAACGGUCAUUUUGCACCUAGAGGUAAAAUGGUAAUUUUCAUACUUAGGAGUAUUUUAGUAAAAUUUACUAUUCUAGAGUUUACAUAUAUAUUAUAACCAUUAACACAUUAACAGAAGCACUUACCGAGUGUUUUUACCGAAUUGGGCCCGUUGGCCCACUAACUCAUUUUCGACCCAUUAAGCCCAAAUAUACCGAAGUGCACGAAAUUGCGCACUCUGCAAUCAUACUGCUUGUGAUUACCAAAAUUAACAACCAAACCACCUCACAAGCGCUCGCACGCUCGUAAGUUCACAAAUGCCGGCUUUUCGGCUUUUGCCGAUCUAGUCUAUGAGUUGGUGUCGUUUACACACCUGUUUUUCGACGAAACGUUGACGAGUUCCACACACGAGUUGCCUACAAUCAGUUACUAACACGUUAAACUAUGAAUCCAUAACAACUUAACACAUCAAUCCCUUACCAUAUUUGGCCCUUAACACCUUAGGCACUAAAGUUCUUACCUUUGUCGAAAAAAUGGACUAGAUCUAAUUCUGGUCGUUCCAAAUAUCCAAGCCCUCGAUUAGUAGCCUUUAAUCCACACUAGAGCAAAACAAAUCAAAUAACACCACUAAACCCUUUUAGUUUAGUCGACAGACACCCUUUGCAUAUAGGGGUUUUCGGCUUUUCUUUAAAUCCCGAAAUAAAGAAUGAAAAUAAGAUUCUGAGUACUUACCACCAAUGAUGUACUUGUCAAGAGCGUUUCAAACACUUCCCCAAUCUCAGAUCCACAGUGAAUCCAAUCUUAGAAUGCGAGUAGAGAAUAGAACUAGAUAUUAAUUCCCGAAUCACUAAAAUAUGAGGCUUUUCGGCUUUUGGAUCUAUCCUAGAAUAUGGCUAUUGCGAUCUAAAAGAAAAAAAAAUAGGUGACGAUAAGUUCACCAUCGAAGAGACAAUCAGUAGAGGAAGAGGUGUAGGAUUAUAGGUUCGGUCUUUUUAAAGAUUAAAAGGAAAUGAGAUAUGGUUUCAACCAAAGGAAUAAUCGGCAACCAAUAUUUGAGAAGAAAAAAUUGUUUUAAAAAGAAUUUGGCUUCGAGGAAAGAAAAUAGAAAAGGAGAAAAUUGUUCAGCUUUUGGGAAAAAAUAGAAAAGAAUAUGAGCAAAAGAAAUAAGAUAAGAUUAGAAUAAAAUAAAAUAAAAUCCUUUUCCAACUUUAAUUCCUUCCUUAUCUGCUUAAUUCAUGGCCAAAUUCAAAGUUUGAAUUUAAUUCAAACUCUCCACUGCUGAGCAGCAGUCCACCGCUCAGCCGACUCCUCUUGUUGCUGGUAGCGUUUCAAUCCCGUACGACCCUUCCCACGCACGUACAGCAAAAAGAUGCACCCUCCUCCUGCACGUAACGCUACUCGAACCUGGGACCUCCAGGUUGCCCAGCACGUUGCUGGCCACUGGGUCGCGCAUUUGUUUUCAAUCAUAUACCCGCACAUCUUAUCUUAAAGGUUACCUGCUGAAGUCUCGUACAUUUUAAAAAUAUAACAUUAAACAUACCUUCGCCUGGACUCGAACCCAUACCCUUGUGAAACUCCUAGCACCCUAAUGCCACUGCGCCAUAAGCUCUUUUUGUGUUAAAUUAUACUUGCAACUCCGCUUAAUCCUUAUUCUAGCCGCCACCUGCAUAUUAAAAAAAUCCUAAAUUGCGCCCGCCGCGCCUUGAACCCAGGCACCUCCCUAGCGCCCUCCUAACGUUCUUAGCCACUGGGCCAGAUGCCUACUUCUGACAUGAAUUAGCCUGAACAAUUAAUAAGGCCUACCUGCGACAGCCCUUGGUUUUUCUAAAAAAAAACCCACAUUUGCGCACGCAAGGAAUCGAACCGCUGCUCCUUUCCUACUGCUUAACACGCCUAACCACUAGGCCAGACUAUUCCUUAUGUCCAAUUUUAGCCCAACUUAUUAAUAAACCUUAAUGCCCAGAUCCCCUAAAGAAGUAAAAAUAAUAAUUUUUGCUAGUCUUGGAUCGAAUUUUUCCCGCACUUUAAAUACUUCUAAAUUUAUUUAAAAACUAAAAUAAUAAUAGUAACCAUAAUAAUGAAAAUUUCAAAUAUGAUAAUAUAUAUAUUUUUUGCCAAAUAAUAAUAAUUAUAAUUUUCAUAAAUCAAUAAAAAUAAAUACAGUAAAUUUUUCUAAUAAUAAUAAUUUUAUCUCUUAAUACUAAUUAAAAUUUCAUAAAAAUUUAAAAUAUCCGUAAUAAUAAAUAUAGUAAAAAUUUUCUAGUAGUAAUUUAAUUCAAAAUUUUUUCUUAAACGAUAAUAUUUAAAACUUCUUAAUUAUUCAGGUUUUCUUCUAUCCAAAUCCCAGACUCAAAACCCAACUCUUCUAGGCUCAAUUAUUGGGGUGUUACACACCGGCCUUCCACGUGUCUGACACCUGCAAGACAAAACUAACACGCAAAAUACAAGAACAAAGAAGAAAAAAAAAAUAGUAGCAGACAACAAGCAAAAAACAAAAAUGAAUCUAUGUAAUUCGGUUAUAAAAGCCGAAACAUCCCUUUGUUUUUUUUCUUUUUCUUGGUUACGAAACAUCAGAAAAUAGAAAUAACAAAAAAGGAAAAUUUCAAGAAGGUGAUUUUCAUCUUUAUUUUUGUUUUAGAUUCUUGCUUUGUUCCUUUUAUUCUAUUUUUCUUCAUUUUUUGCAUAUAAAUAUUAAGUAAUAAUAAUAAAAGAGGGGAAAAAGGGACUCACCGGGGUUGAAAAGCCCAUCUUCGCGCACUGUCGACCACCGAGUACGGUGGUGGUACAGCGGGUGGUGAAGGAAUCUGAUUCGUCGGAGAAACAAGUUGGGGAGAGGGUGUUUUGUGUUUUUUUUUCUUUGGAAAACAAAAGAGAACGACAGAUAAAAAAAAUUUGGUUUUAUUUCACCCUUGAAAUGACGUCGUUUGGGGGGUGGGGUCUGCACACUUUCCCUAAAAGGAAAAUUUUUGCGUUUAGUCAUUCUCUCCCGCAACUCCACGCAAUCAGGCCCCCAUUUUCU